GCCCGGGUGGCGGAACUGGCCAGACGCGGGGGGCUUAAACCCCCCUGGCCCGCAAGGGCCGUGCGGGUUCGACUCCCGCCCCGGGCA
RNAcentral lists this transfer RNA (87 nucleotides) under Actinomycetota bacterium. RNAcentral's name for it is "tRNA-Leu". It matches the Rfam family "tRNA". Rfam says of the family: Transfer RNA (tRNA) molecules are approximately 80 nucleotides in length. Their secondary structure includes four short double-helical elements and three loops (D, anti-codon, and T loops). The record is from RNAcentral. Lineage: Bacteria; Bacillati; Actinomycetota.